GACGAACGCUGGCGGCGUGCUUAACACAUGCAAGUCGAACGGAAAGGCCUGCUUUCCCUUGUGGAUUGCGGGUACUCGAGUGGCGAACGGGUGAGUAACACGUGAGUGAUCUGCCCCCAACUUGGGUAUAAGCCUGGGAAACUGGGUCUAAUUCCCGAUAGGACUGCAGGGUGGUGCCUGUGGUGGAAAACGAUUUUCUAGUGGUUGGGGAUGAGCUCGCGGCCUAUCAGCUUGUUGGUGGGGUAAUGGCCUACCAAGGCGGCGACGGGUAGCCGGCCUGAGGGGGUGGACGGCCACAUUGGGACUGAGAUACGGCCCAGACUCCUACGGGAGGCAGCAGUGGGGAAUAUUGCACAAUGGGCGGAAGCCUGAUGCAGCGACGCCGCGUGGGGGAUGACGGCCUUCGGGUUGUAAACUCCUUUCGACCGCGAGGAAGCCACCUGGUUGGAAGGGUGGUGACGGUAGUGGUAGAAGAAGCACCGGCUAACUACGUGC
Molecule: ribosomal RNA, 495 nt
Filed under: uncultured bacterium
Lineage: Bacteria
Description: partial 16S ribosomal RNA
Rfam family: Bacterial small subunit ribosomal RNA
Source: RNAcentral